Molecule: ribosomal RNA, 468 nt
Filed under: uncultured bacterium
Lineage: Bacteria
Description: partial 16S ribosomal RNA
Rfam family: Bacterial small subunit ribosomal RNA
Source: RNAcentral
GACGAACGCUGGCGGCGUGCUUAACACAUGCAAGUCGAACGGAAAGGCCCUGCUUUUGUGGGGUGCUCGAGUGGCGAACGGGUGAGUAACACGUGAGUAACCUGCCCUUGACUUUGGGAUAACUUCAGGAAACUGGGGCUAAUACCGGAUAGGAGCUCCUGCUGCAUGGUGGGGGUUGGAAAGUUUCGGCGGUUGGGGAUGGACUCGCGGCUUAUCAGCUUGUUGGUGGGGUAGUGGCUUACCAAGGCUUUGACGGGUAGCCGGCCUGAGAGGGUGACCGGCCACAUUGGGACUGAGUACCGGCCCAGACUCCUACGGGAGGCAGCAGUGGGGAAUAUUGCACAAUGGGCGGAAGCCGGAUGCAGCAACGCCGCGUGCGGGAUGAUGGCCUUCGGGUUGUAAACCGCUUUCGCCUGUGACGAAGCGUGAGUGACGGUAAUGGGUAAAGAAGCACCGGCUAACUACGUG